UACGUAGGGUGCAAGCGUUGUCCGGAAUUAUGGGGCGUAAAGAGCUCGUAGGCGGUUUGUCGCGUCUGCUGUGAAAACCCGAGGCUCAACCUCGGGCCUGCAGUGGGUACGGGCAAACUAGAGUGCGGUAGGGGAGAAUGGAAUUCCUGGUGUAGCGGUGGAAUGCGCAGAUAUCAGGAGGAACACCGGUGGCGAAGGCGCUGCUCUGGGCCGGUACUGACGCUGAGGAGCGAAAGCGUGGGUAGCAAACAGG
RNAcentral lists this ribosomal RNA (253 nucleotides) under uncultured bacterium. RNAcentral's name for it is "partial 16S ribosomal RNA". It matches the Rfam family "Bacterial small subunit ribosomal RNA", at positions 524 to 776 of the family's 1533-position model. The record is from RNAcentral.